GUUGGAUUAGUACGUCAGGCUAUUUGAUAAUCGGUGGCAAAUCGAAUAUGCUUCGACCGAUUGUAGUCUAGUCGAUAUGAUUCCAAUGCGAUCUUGAUCGUAUUGGCAUAGCAUUCCACUUAGUUAAGACUAAGUCGGCAUAAUCAGCUUUUACAAUGGAGAGCCGAAAUAUGUUUGGUAUCGAGGCAUAGUCGGUGUUAUGGCUUUACAGUGA
This 214-nucleotide long non-coding RNA is filed under the name Elaeis guineensis (African oil palm). RNAcentral describes it as "long non-coding RNA (EGUI_LNC005479)". Lineage: Eukaryota; Viridiplantae; Streptophyta; Magnoliopsida; Arecales; Arecaceae. The record is from RNAcentral.